Molecule: ribosomal RNA, 460 nt
Filed under: uncultured bacterium
Lineage: Bacteria
Description: partial 16S ribosomal RNA
Rfam family: Bacterial small subunit ribosomal RNA
Source: RNAcentral
CCUACGGGGGGCAGCAGUGAGGAAUAUUGGUCAAUGGGCGCGAGCCUGAACCAGCCAAGUCGCGUGAGGGAGGACGGCCCUACGGGUUGUAAACCUCUUUUGCCGGGGAGCAACGGGCGCCACGUGUGGCGUCACUGAGAGUACCCGGCGUAAAAGCAUCGGCUAACUCCGUGCCAGCAGCCGCGGUAAUACGGGGGAUGCGAGCGUUAUCCGGAUUCAUUGGGUUUAAAGGGUGUGUAGGCGGAGCGUUAAGUCAGUGGUCAAAUUGAGGGGCUCAACCCCUUCCCGCCAUUGAAACUGGCGUUCUUGAGUGGAAGAGAAGUAUGCGGAAUGCGUGGUGUAGCGGUGAAAUGCAUAGAUAUCACGCAGAACCCCGAUUGCGAAGGCAGUUCACUGGACUUCAACUGACACUGAGGCUCGAAAGUGUGGGUAUCAAACAGGAUUAGAUACCCCGGUAGUC